Molecule: ribosomal RNA, 439 nt
Filed under: uncultured bacterium
Lineage: Bacteria
Description: partial 16S ribosomal RNA
Rfam family: Bacterial small subunit ribosomal RNA
Source: RNAcentral
CCUACGGGAGUCAGCAGUGGGGAAUAUUGCACAAUGGGCGAAAGCCUGAUGCAGCAACGCCGCGUGAGCGAUGAAGGCCUUCGGGUCGUAAAGCUCUGUCCUCAGGGAAGAUAAUGACGGUACUUGAUGAGGAAGCCCCGGCUAACUACGUGCCAGCAGCCGCGGUAAUACGUAGGGGGCUAGCGUUAUCCGGAAUUACUGGGCGUAACGGGUGCGUAGGUGGCUUCUCAAGUCAGAGGUGAAAGGCAACGGCUAAACCGUAGUAAGCCUUUGAAACUGGGAAAAUUGAGUGCAGGAGAGGAGAGUGGAAUUCCUAGUGUAGCGGUGAAAUGCGUAGAUAUUAGGAGGAACACCAGUGGCGAAGGCGGCUUACUGGACUGUAACUGACAUUGAGGCACGAAAGCGUGGGGAGCAAACAGGAUUAGAUACCCCGGUAGUC